Molecule: transfer RNA, 72 nt
Filed under: Marmota monax (woodchuck)
Lineage: Eukaryota; Metazoa; Chordata; Mammalia; Rodentia; Sciuridae
Description: tRNA.Ala
Source: RNAcentral
GGGAUUGUGGCUCAGUGGUAGAGCGCUUGCCUAGCAUUGUGCAAGGCCCUGGGUUUGAUCCUCAGCAUUACA